CAGGCAGGAGCCAUCCCACGGUAGGUGUACUCUGCCAAGCACAUCGGAUCUGUGCGGUUUAGCUGUUAACCUGACACUGGGGACAGGGUCAGCCCGGGCUGCAGACUGGGACCCACCCAGGUUUCAGUCCGCAGCUGCGCGGGGACAGACACCCUCGGAGCUUUAGUCAGGCCUCUUAGUUGGAGCCCUCUUCUAGGCUGGGCCUCAUCCUUGGCCUGCUGAGCCCGGUUUUACCAGAGAGUUCUGAGGAGCCAGUUUAUCCAGAAUCCCCUCACCCUUGAUUUCCAAUCAAGCUACUCUUCCUCCACCCUUGUUUCUAAUCAGCUUCCUCUUCCUGCUCACCCUUAAUAUCUAACCAAGUUCCUCUUAGUAAUUUUCCGUUCUCUCCCUCACCUUGCCCCGGCUAUUGGUCUAUCUCCAUUGGUCCCUUUUGUAUUUGGACUCGAAAUCAAUCUCACCCCCAUUGCAGUGGUUUUGAUUAAAGUCUUUCCUGCUGUUUUUUAAAGAGCAUCCGGUGAAUAGUAUCUCUUACAGCCUUCCAGCGCCUUGGGAGACCUAACCUCAAUAAUCCUCAGUUACAUGCUAGGUAAAAUGGGUAACAGUACUCAGACAUAACACAGGAGCCAGGGAAAUGAUGAAACAGAGCCAGUACUUACUCCCAGAGCUCUAGUUUGAAAUACCACCUGGAGCAUAGCAACCUGGUGUCAGAUUCAGUUCUGAAUCUGGAGAGAUGGGAGGUCAGCUCUACAAGUCUCCCAGGUUUGUCUUCUGGGGUCACCACGGUGCCAGGAGAAGUGGAGGUGGCCACAAAAGCAAGCAGCGGAUGAAAAGGUGGUCUUUGAACCCAGUCCACCUGGCCACCCACAGACCUCGGUGUGGGAAAGCACUGGGGUCUCAACAGACGUUUCAGGAAUUUGGCCCCACCCCCAGUUAUCUGAUAACUAAAACCCCGUAAAGAAAUAAAGAAGGUUACAAA
Manis pentadactyla (Chinese pangolin) is the source of this 976-nucleotide long non-coding RNA. RefSeq lists it as uncharacterized. The record is from RefSeq and is a predicted model, not a curated record. The transcript has 3 exons. Lineage: Eukaryota; Metazoa; Chordata; Mammalia; Pholidota; Manidae.